UGAAGUAAGUAAGGGCGUACGGUGAAUGCCUUGGUGCCAACAGGCGAAGAAGGACGCGGCAAGCUGCGAAAAGCCUCGGGAAGCUGCAAGCAAGCGAUGAUCCGGGGAUAUCCGAAUGGGGUAACCUGAUCGAGGCAAUACUCGAUCGUUCAUACCUGAAUACAUAGGGUAUGAAACGCGAAACCCGCUGAAGUGAAACAUCUCAGUAAGCGGAGGAAAAGAAAGAGAAAUCGAUUCCGUAAGUAGUGGCGAGCGAAAGCGGAUGGAGCCCAAACCGAAGGUAUUCCUUCGGGGUUGUAGGACCACGUCAUAUUCGACCAUACUGGAUAGUAGAACAGCCUGGAAAGGCUGGCCGGAGAAGGUGAAAGCCCUGUAGACGAAAUCCAGAGUGGGAAUUAGUGGUAUCCUGAGUAAUACAUCACACGUGGAACGAUGUAUGAACCCGCGCGGACCACCGCGCAAGGCUAAAUACUAGUUGGCGACCGAUAGUGAACAAGUACCGCGAGGGAAAGGUGAAAAGAACCGCUGUGAGCGGAGUGAAAUAGAACCUGAAACCGUAUGUCUACAAAGUGUCAGAGCAGAGCAAUCUGCGAUGGCGUGCCUUUUGUUUAAUGAGUCUGCGAGUCAGUGUUUGUGGCAAGACUAAGGGCUUCCGGCCCGGAGUCGCAGCGAAAGCAAGUCCGAACAGGGCGCAAUAAGUCGCAGGUACUGGACCCGAAGCGGAGGUGACCUACCCUUGGCCAGGUUGAAGCAUGGGUAAAACCAUGUGGAGGACCGAACAGGUGAACGUUGAAAAGUUCUCUGAUGAGCUGAGGGUAGGAGUGAAAGGCUAAUCAAACCCCGUGAUAGCUGGUUCUCUUCGAAAUGCAUUUAGGUGCAGCGUCACGUGCUGAUGCGCGGGGGUAGAGCACUGACAAGGCUAGGGGGCACACCCGCUUACCAAACCUUAUCAAACUCCGAAUACCGUGCAAUGGAACGUGGCAGUGAGACAGUGGGGGAUAAGCUUCAUUGUCGAGAGGGAAACAACCCAGACCAGCAGCUAAGGUGCCUAAAUAACGCUCAGUGGAAAGGAUGUGGGAUUACACAGACAGUGAGGAUGUUGGCUUAGAAGCAGCCACCAUUUAAAAAAUGCGUAAUAGCUUACUCAUCGAGUGAUCCUGCGCCGAAAAUGAUUGGCGAUCAAGCGUUAUACCGAAGCUCUGGACUUUGCCGCAAGGCAGAGUGGUAGAAGAGCGUUGCAUGCGCGUCGAAGGGCGAUGGCGACUGACCCUGGAGCACAUGCAAGUGAGUAUGCAGACAUGAGUAACGUUAAGCCGGGUGAAACCCCCGGCCGCCGUAAACCCGAGGUUUCCAGGGCAACGUGUUUCGUCCCUGGGUUAGCCGGGACCUAAGCCGAGGCCGAGAGGCGUAGGCGAUGGACAUCAGGUUAAUAAUCCUGAGCUCGCAACCCUUAAACUGGGGGGACGCAUGAGAAAAGAUGACUAGGUUAUUGAAUUCCGAGUUGAGUCCACGGACUCAGCGCAUCAUUGGAUCGAGUGCCAAGAAAAGCCCCAGCGUAUGCUAAGCGACCCGUACCGCAAACCGACACAGGUGGGUGGGUAGAACAUACCGAGGCGAUCGGGUCAACCAUGGUCAAGGAACUCGGCACAAUGGCCCCGUAACUUCGGGAGAAGGGGUGCCCGCGCGUACGUGAACCGGCUUGCCCGGGGAGCGGAGGCGGGCCGCAGUGGAGAGGCCCAAGCGACUGUUUACCAAAAACACAGGACUCUGCAGAAGCCGCAAGGCGACGUAUAGGGUCUGACGCCUGCCCGGUGCCGGAAGGUCACGCGGAGGAGUUAGCCGAUUCGGCGAAGCCCCGAAGCCAAGCCCCGGUAAACGGCGGCCGUAACUAUAACGGUCCUAAGGUAGCGAAAUUCCUUGUCGGGUAAGUUCCGACCUGCACGAAUGGCGUAACGACUUCCCCACUGUCUCGACCAGGAGCUCGGCGAAAUUGCAGUACGAGUAAAGAUGCUCGUUAAGCGCAGAAGGACGAAAAGACCCCGGGACCUUUACUAUACCUUGGUAUUGGCGUUAGGCGCGGAUUGUGUAGCAUAGGCGGGAGGCUUCGAAGCAUGGGCGCCAGCCCGUGUGGAGCCGCAAGGUGAAAUACCGCUCUGUUCUCGUUUGACGUCUAACCUCGACAAGUCAUCCUUGUCAGGGACAGUGCCUGGCGGGUAGUUCAACUGGGGCGGUUGCCUCCCAAAGAGUAACGGAGGCGCUCAAAGGUCCGCUCAGCCCGGUUGGCAAUCGGGUGUCGAGUGUAAUCGCACAAGCGGGCUUGACUGCGAGGACGACGGUCCGAGCAGGGACGAAAGUCGGGACUAGUGAUCCGGUGCCGGUGUACGGACGCGGCAUCGCUCAACGGAUAAAAGGUACCCCGGGGAUAACAGGCUGAUCAUUCCCAAGAGUCCAUAUCGACGGGAUGGUUUGGCACCUCGAUGUCGGCUCGUCGCAUCCUGGGGCUGGAGCAGGUCCCAAGGGUACGGCUGU
This 2529-nucleotide ribosomal RNA is filed under the name human gut metagenome. RNAcentral's name for it is "bacterial LSU rRNA". It matches the Rfam family "Bacterial large subunit ribosomal RNA", at positions 1 to 2580 of the family's 2925-position model. The record is from RNAcentral.